GGGCCCGUAGCUUAGCCAGGUAGAGCACUGGGCUCUUAACCCAGGGGUCGCGGGUUCGAAUCCCGCCGGGCCCG
Molecule: transfer RNA, 74 nt
Filed under: Candidatus Altarchaeales archaeon
Lineage: Archaea; Nanobdellati; Candidatus Altarchaeota; Candidatus Altarchaeia; Candidatus Altarchaeales
Also listed under: 2 other names
Description: Candidatus Altiarchaeales archaeon tRNA-Lys
Rfam family: tRNA
About the family: Transfer RNA (tRNA) molecules are approximately 80 nucleotides in length. Their secondary structure includes four short double-helical elements and three loops (D, anti-codon, and T loops). Further hydrogen bonds mediate the characteristic L-shaped molecular structure. tRNAs have two regions of fundamental functional importance: the anti-codon, which is responsible for specific mRNA codon recognition, and the 3' end, to which the tRNAs corresponding amino acid is attached (by aminoacyl-tRNA synthetases). tRNAs cope with the degeneracy of the genetic code in two manners: having more than one tRNA (with a specific anti-codon) for a particular amino acid; and 'wobble' base-pairing, i.e. permitting non-standard base-pairing at the 3rd anti-codon position.
Source: RNAcentral